UAUGGAAGGUGCAAGCGUUGUUCGGAAUUAUUAAGCGUAAAGCGCGUGUAAGUGGUCGAGUAAGUCAGAUGUGAAAUCCUUCUGCUUAACAGAAGAAGUGCAUUUGAAACUGCUCGGCUAGAGUACGGGAGAGAAAAAUGGAAUUCCCGGUGUAGAGGUGAAAUUCGUAGAUAUCGAAAGGAACACCAGUGGCGAAGGCGGCUCUCUGGUCCGAUACUGACGCUGAGACGCGAAAGCGUGGAAAGCAAAC
RNAcentral lists this ribosomal RNA (250 nucleotides) under uncultured bacterium. Its description in RNAcentral is "partial 16S ribosomal RNA". It matches the Rfam family "Bacterial small subunit ribosomal RNA", at positions 524 to 773 of the family's 1533-position model. The record is from RNAcentral.